Long non-coding RNA from Dermochelys coriacea (leatherback sea turtle), 648 nucleotides. RefSeq lists it as uncharacterized. The record is from RefSeq and is a predicted model, not a curated record. NCBI's taxonomy places the organism in Eukaryota, Metazoa, Chordata, Testudines, Dermochelyidae. The transcript has 2 exons.
GCCCCACCCCAGGCUAGCCCUCCAGCCCCCCAGCGCGGGAAGGCGGGUGGCGCGUGGCCCCAGCCCCCCAGCGCGGGAAGGCGGGAAGGUGGUGUGGUCGCAGUCCACAUAGCCCUGGCCAGAGCACAGGGGGACUGGAGGUCAGAGCCACACGCACUUAGAGUGGUGAUAAGGAGGGGGCCUGGGCAUGGCAGAGUGAGGGUUGGGCCAUGCCUGGCUGUUUGGGGACAUACAGCUUCCCCCAGCCUAUGGGACCCACCACCCAUGAAUUUCAUUAUUUCCAAGAGUCAAGUGGCAGACAAAGCCAGGCAAAAUCUGUGUUAAGAAUAACUUAAUGGAGGGCUGCAUGGCCCAGAGGAGAUAUGAAGAGGGGAGACAAAAUCUUCUCUUUCAGGUCACCAAGUCAGCUCUGACCCCAAGUAGGUAGCUACCAAAAGUCAUACUUGCAGGUUGUAUUGUAUGAAAUGAGUUGAUGGUCUCGGUCCAGUUCCCAGUGGAUUGGUUUGUAGCUAUCUGAACAGCAAGGCCAAAAAGUAAAUGGAGGCUGAACCACCAAUCAACAGAUUCCUGCAAAUCAGGGUGAGGUAGUAAAACAGAGCAAGUUGGUGCAGCAGCUGUUCAUGUUAUAAUAUGAAUAAAGUAGCUGCA